CGGAUGCCGAUCUCGAAAACCUGUCCCAGUUCGGACUGGAGUCUGCAACCCGACUCCACGAAGUUGGAUUCGCUAGUAAUCGCGCAUCAGCCAUGGCGCGGUGAAUACGUUCCCGGGCCUUGUACACACCGCCCGUCAAGCCAUGGGAGCCGGGGGCGCCUGAAGUUCGUGACCGCAAGGAUCGACCUAGGGCAAAACCGGUGACUGGGGCUAAGUCGUAACAAGGUAAC
Molecule: ribosomal RNA, 230 nt
Filed under: uncultured bacterium
Lineage: Bacteria
Description: partial 16S ribosomal RNA
Rfam family: Bacterial small subunit ribosomal RNA
Source: RNAcentral